RNAcentral lists this long non-coding RNA (1766 nucleotides) under Brassica napus (rape). RNAcentral's name for it is "long non-coding RNA (BNAP_LNC008886)". Lineage: Eukaryota; Viridiplantae; Streptophyta; Magnoliopsida; Brassicales; Brassicaceae. The record is from RNAcentral.
UAUUUAGGGUUAGGCAGGGUAUUUAGGGUUAGGAAGGGUUUAGGGUUAGAAAGGGUUUAGGGUAGGUAGGGUUUAGGGUUAGGUAGGGUUUAAGGUUAGUAGGCUUUAGGGUUAGGUAGGGUUUAGGGCUAGGUAGGGUUUAGGGUUAGGUAGGGUUUAGGGUUAGGUAACGUUAGGGUUUAGGGUUAGGUAGGGUUUAGGGUUAUGUAGGGUUAGGGUUAGGUUUUAGGGUAGAAAGGGUUUAGGGUUAGGUAGGGUUUAGGGUUAGGCAGGGUUUAGGGUUAGGUCAGGUUUAGGGUUAGAAAGGGUAUAGGGUUAGGUAGGGUUUAGGGUUAGAAAGGGUUUAGAGUAGGUACGGUUUAGGGUUAGUAGGGUUUAGGGUUAGUAGGGUUUAGGGCUAGAAAGGGUUUAGGGUUAGAAAGGUUUUAGGGUUAGGUAGGGUUUAGGUUAGGUAGGGUUUAGGGUUAGUAGGGUUUAGGGUUAUGUAGGGUUAGCGUUAGGUAGAGUUUAGAAUUAGUUAGGGUUUAGGGUUAGCAUGGUUUAGGGUUAGAAAGGGUUUAGGGUUAGUAGGAUUUAGAGUUAGGAAGGGUUUAGAAUUAGGUAGGGUUUAGGGUUAGGUAGGGUUUAGGCUUAGUAGGGUUUAGGGUUAGGUAGGGUUUAGGGCUAGAAAAGGUUUAGGAUUAGGAAGGUUUUAGGUUAGGUAGGGUUAGUAGGGUUAGGGUUAGGUAGCGUUUAGGGUUAGUAGGGUUUAGGGUUAGGUAGGGUUUAGGGUUAGGUUUUAGGUAGGGUUUUAGGGUUAGGAAGGGUUUAGGGUUAGGUAGGGUUUAGGGUUAAAUAGGGUUUAAGGUUAGGUAGGGUUUAUGUUUCGGGUUAAGUAGGUUUAGGGUUUAGGGAUGAGGGUUAGGUUUAUGUAGGGUUUAGGGUUAGAUAAGGUUAAGUCUAGGUUUAGGUAAGGUUUAGGGUUAGGUGGGAUUUAGGGUUUAGGUAGUAGGAAUGGUUUAGCGUUUGGUUUAGGUUGGGUUUAAUGUUUGGUUUAGAAUAAUGUUUAGGAUUAUAGGGUUUAGGGUUUAGGGUUUGUUUGUUUUUUUGUUUAUGCAUUUAGUGCGGAGUUUUUUGGAUAAAAUUUUAUAUUAAUAUUAUUGAUCCAUAAUUUUUCUUAAAAUGUUAAAAAUUUUAACGUGAUUUUUAAUGUUCUUAAAACAAAGUAUGUAUUUUUUAUUAAGUUUUUUGUGACAAUAAGUUCAAUAUAUCUUAGACCACAAAUCAUAAAUAUUCUCAGUCUUAUACAUUUUGUUCUUCAAGUUAUUGUUACUUUUAUUUUCUUUUAUACAUUUCUCUUAAUAUUUAUGUAUGCAUCCAUAAUAUUUUUUAAAAAGGUUUUUUCAUUAACUAAUGUAUUUAUUGUAGUUUUAAAUAUAUUAUAGUUUUCGUGCACUUGAUUAAAUUUUUUUGGCGUUUGUGAUAUUUGAAGUGGUUGAGAACCUGAAUGGAUAUGUACUUUCAUAAAAAUUUUGGUGUAUGAUUAAAAAUAAAAAUUUGUAAAGGCUUUUAAAUUAUAUAAAUAUAAUAUUCAACACACUACUGUUGACUGUUUAUAUACUUAAAAUUCUGAAGUAGGUAAUUGCGAAUUUGCUGAACUCAUAGAUUCGUUGCUACUUUAUAAAUUAUUAGAGGAUGAGGUACAUAUGGUAAAAAUUGUUUUGAUGAUAAUAUAACGUCCAUAUCGUAAUGUAUGUUUUUUAAUUUUAUCUACUAUGUAUUAAAAA